Molecule: long non-coding RNA, 1183 nt
Organism: Sus scrofa (pig)
Lineage: Eukaryota; Metazoa; Chordata; Mammalia; Artiodactyla; Suidae
Source: RefSeq, a predicted model, not a curated record
CAGGGGCCGGGGUCUGAGGGGGAGUGCAUGGGAGCCCAGGCGGCGGUGGUGGUGGCGGGAGCCCGGGAGCCCGGCGCAUUGCUGAGGGGUGACUCACAGCCGGGGAAGGGAAGGAAUGCCCUCGCAUUCUUUCGGGAGGUAAACAAGGUCAGGGAGGGCAGGCCGGGAUCCUGUUUACCUGACCCUGGCCCCCCCAGCCCCGCUCCCCUGGGGACCAGGAGCCAGGGCAGGACAACACCCUGGAGCAGAACCAGCCAGACCUCAAGGGUGCCAUGCGGGAACCCAAGGCAUGGUCCCCAGUGGCCACUGUGGAGAUGAGGCCACCCGGCCUAGUGGCUUAAGAGCAAGGACCUCGGGAUCAGCCUGGCCUGGAUUAAGCCUGGCUUUGCCACUCGCCAGCUGGUGCCCUCAAGCCUGUUCCCUGUCUCCUUCAAGCCUCGAUUUCCUGAUCUGUGACACAGAAUCUCCCAGGAUUGCUGUGACAUUGAGCUGAUACACACGAAGCACCUGGCACACACAGCCACAACCCAGAAAUAACCAGGAUGUCUAUCUGCAGUAGCAUGGAAUGGGAUUAUUAGACGCCUGUCACAGAGUCUGGGGAGGAAGGAGCUGGACACAAAGAAGUAAAUACUGUGUGAAUCCAUUUCUGUGAAUGUCAAGAAAAAAGAGAGGAAAGAAACUACUAAAGUCAGGACAGGGGUGCUCUUUGGGCAAAAAGGGAGGAACGAGGGGAAGGACGAGGGGGGUUUCUUGGGUGCGGGCAGUGUCUUAUCUCUGGAUCUGGGCACUAUUUGCACAGGUGUGUUUAGCUUGUAACAAUUCAUCCUGCUGGACAUUUACAAUGUAAGCACCUUUCUUUACAUUGCGCUUCAAUAAAAAGUUAAAAAAAAAAAAAACCCUCCACCUACAAAGCCCAAAGUCCUCCACAGCGGUUCCCACCAACUCAUCCUCAGUUCCCGGAACCGUGUAGCGCCAUCUAGUUCCAUGUCGCUCUCUCUGCCGGGAAUUCCUGUAUCCCGUUGGUAAACGCUUCUCUGGGCUCACCGCCACCCCCAGGAAGUCCUGCCUUCUGGCCCCAGACAGAGGUGGUUUCUCCCUCCUCAAAAAGCUGCAGGUGGAGUUCCCGUCGUGGCCCAGUGGUUAACGAAUCUGACUAGGAACCAUGAGGUUGCAGGUUCGGUCC